CAAUCAGCCCUGUUCUGUGGCUUGUUCAGUAUGGGAGUUCUAAAGAAUUCAUAGUAUUCAAAAUUUGCAGGUACACAACACAUUGGCCAAAUGACAAAAUUAAAUUUCUAACCGUUGCUAUCAAGUCUGCCUGACUGAGUAUACUGUGAAUUCCAAUAUUUGGGUUGUAGAAAAAUGAGCUUAAAGCCUCGUUUAAAGGCUGUUUCAAAGUUGAGCCUCGUUCAAUGGCUAUAAAAUUAUUUUUCAGUCCUGUUCAGUGGCUGUUUUUCUGACAUUAAUACAUGUAAGAGGUGACUCAUUUGCAUUUCUAAUGAUGUUAACAGUGACCUCGCUCAUCACAUUGCUCCAGGCCAUUGGACAACUAAGUUUGGAAAAGACAUCGAGGUAUACCUCUCCAGUGUAUUAGGAUUGUAUUUUUAAGCUUAAAUCUGCAUUUUUAUUUUUAUUGUAAGAUUGGUACAUUCUUCUUUGAUGUUUGUCCUAUUCUUUCAGAGUUUCCCUCACCAGACCACCGGAAACUGUUGUGGCAUCUUUAUAUUAAUGGUUAAAAAAAAAUCUAGUCUCUAUUGAAACGUUUUUUUGUAUAAUUUUAAUCCACCAUAACUGAAUAGAUAUUUGAUUUUCACAGUAUGCCCUCAGCAUCAGCACAGGUGCUCCAUUCUUGUUUACUGAGGUCAGUAUUUUUUCUUCUGACAUGUGACCAAGUACAAAAAGGAUCUUAAAUAAAAUUUCCUAUACCACUUGUUUGCAAUUUCUACAAGGCUAAGUAUAAGCUAGAACAUGCUUUACCAUUUGUUUGAGUAAUUAAAAUAAUUUCUUUUAGAGGGACAUGGUACACAUUCGGAAGUGGUGGUGCAUUAGUCUGAUGGAACGAUUCCAGAUUGAAGGCCAUGGGCAGAGGUUUGCACAUUGGACUAGCGAGGCUACAGCAUUACUGAAAGGGUCACUGGAGCCAAUGUACAGGAUCCCAAAGUCCAGAAAGAGGAAACAUGAGGUUGUGUUUCCCAAAGAUGACAGAUGUUUCAUAUUGGAGUUGUCAGCAUGUCU
Long non-coding RNA from Cyprinodon variegatus (sheepshead minnow), 1047 nucleotides. RefSeq lists it as uncharacterized. Lineage: Eukaryota; Metazoa; Chordata; Actinopteri; Cyprinodontiformes; Cyprinodontidae. The transcript has 4 exons. The record is from RefSeq and is a predicted model, not a curated record.